UACGGAGGGGGCUAGCGUUGUUCGGAAUUACUGGGCGUAAAGCGCGCGUAGGCGGACCUGCAAGUCGGGGGUGAAAGCCCGAGGCUCAACCCUCGGAACUGCCUUCGAUACUGCGGGUCUCGAGUCCGGGAGAGGUGAGUGGAAUUCCUAGUGUAGAGGUGAAAUUCGUAGAUAUUAGGGAGAACACCAGUGGCGAAAGCGGCUCUCUGGAACGGUACUGACGCUGAGACGCGAAAGCGUGGGGAGCGAACAGG
This 254-nucleotide ribosomal RNA is filed under the name uncultured bacterium. RNAcentral describes it as "partial 16S ribosomal RNA". It matches the Rfam family "Bacterial small subunit ribosomal RNA", at positions 524 to 776 of the family's 1533-position model. The record is from RNAcentral.